This 497-nucleotide ribosomal RNA is filed under the name uncultured bacterium. RNAcentral's name for it is "bacterial SSU rRNA". It matches the Rfam family "Bacterial small subunit ribosomal RNA", at positions 28 to 511 of the family's 1533-position model. The record is from RNAcentral.
GAUGAACGCUAGCGACAGGCCUAACACAUGCAAGUCGAGGGGCAGCAUGAAAUUAGCUUGCUAAUUUUGAUGGCGACCGGCGCACGGGUGAGUAACGCGUAUCCAACCUGCCCCUCUCUUUGGCAUAGCCUUUCGAAAGAGAGAUUAAUUCCGAAUAACAUAGUUAGAUUGCAUGAUAUGACUAUGAAAGCUCCGGCGGAGAGGGAUGGGGAUGCGUUCCAUUAGGUAGUAGGCGGGGUAAUAGCCCACCUAGCCGACGAUGGAUAGGGGGUUCUGAGAGGAAGGUCCCCCACAUUGGAACUGAGACACGGUCCAAACUCCUACGGGAGGCAGCAGUGAGGAAUAUUGGUCAAUGGAGGCAACUCUGAACCAGCCAAGUAGCGUGAGGGAUGACUGCCCUACGGGUUGUAAAACCCUCUUUUUGUCGGGGAAUAAACCGCGCCACGUGUGGCGCCCUGCAUGUACCCGCAGAAUGAGACCGGCUAACUCCGUGCCAG